RNAcentral lists this ribosomal RNA (120 nucleotides) under Pteropus alecto (black flying fox). The record is from RNAcentral. Lineage: Eukaryota; Metazoa; Chordata; Mammalia; Chiroptera; Pteropodidae.
GUCCAAGGCCAUGCUACCCUGAACAAGCCCGAUCCCGUCUGAUCUCGGAAGCUAAGCAAGGUCGGGCGUGGUUAGUACUUGUAAUGGGAGACCACCUAGGAAUACUAGGUGCUGUAGGUG